Molecule: ribosomal RNA, 708 nt
Filed under: Pristimantis viejas
Lineage: Eukaryota; Metazoa; Chordata; Amphibia; Anura; Strabomantidae
Description: partial small subunit ribosomal RNA
Rfam family: Bacterial small subunit ribosomal RNA
Source: RNAcentral
GCCCAAAACAUCUAGCCAUGCCACGCCCUCAAGGGUCCUCAGCAGUGAUUAACAUUAAAAAUUAACGUAAGUUUGAUUUAGUUAACGAAAACAGAGCCGGCUAAUCUGGUGCCAGCCGCCGCGGUUACACCAAGUGGCUCAAAUUGAUUUUACCCGGCGUAAAGCGUGAUUAAAGAAAACAUAUACACUAGGAUCAAACUUCAACUGAGCUGUAGCACGCUUGUUCUUUGGAAGCCCAUAUUUCGAAAGAUGCCCUAACUAACAACUUGAAUUCACGAUAACUAGACCACAAACUGGGAUUAGAUACCCCACUAUGCCUAGUCAUAAACUUUAACUUACAUCUACCCCGCCUGGGAACUACGAGCAAAGCUUAAAACCCAAAGGACUUGACGGUGCCCCAUAUCCCCCUAGAGGAGCCUGUCCUAUAAUCGAUACCCCCCGUUUAACCUCACCAUUUUUAGUUUUUCAGCCUGUAUACUUCCGUCAUCAGCUUACCGCAUGAGCGACAAGUAAGCUUAAUGGUUUACACCAAUAUGUCAGGUCAAAGUGCAGCUAAUGAAAUGGAAAGAGAUGGGCUACACUUUCUAAUAUAGAAAAUACGAAAGACUAUAUGAAAUUAUACUCAGAAGGUGGAUUUAGUAGUAAAAAGAGAAAGAAUACCCCUUUUAACCCGCACUGGGGCGUGUACACACCGCCCGUCACCCUCUU